Molecule: ribosomal RNA, 253 nt
Filed under: uncultured bacterium
Lineage: Bacteria
Description: partial 16S ribosomal RNA
Rfam family: Bacterial small subunit ribosomal RNA
Source: RNAcentral
UACGUAGGGUGCAAGCGUUAAUCGGAAUUACUGGGCGUAAAGCGUGCGCAGGCGGCUUUGCAAGACAGAUGUGAAAUCCCCGGGCUCAACCUGGGAACUGCAUUUGUGACUGCAAGGCUAGAGUACGGUAGAGGGGGAUGGAAUUCCGCGUGUAGCAGUGAAAUGCGUAGAUAUGCGGAGGAACACCGAUGGCGAAGGCAAUCCCCUGGACCUGUACUGACGCUCAUGCACGAAAGCGUGGGGAGCAAAUAGG